AAUUUUUAUUGCUAUUUCCCAGAAUACAUGAUAGCAUUGGCAAAACCCAACCCUCAUCCUCUUUGAUCCGCACUUUAGAAAUUCUGAAGUCACUUAUAAUUUUUCCAAGACCAUAGUUGCAUUUUCGUUUAGUUCAAAGAUUAUAUAUGUAUAAUGUUUCUUAAUAUACCUUUGGCACAUUGGCAGAAUAACAGAGUUGUGAGAAUUUUACAUAAAUAAAAAAGGUACAAAUAGAUGUAAAAUGGUACUUAACAUAAUUAAUAAUUACUGUGUAUAAUAAAUUAUUGCGAGCAUGUGAUAUAGCAACC
Non-coding RNA from Paramuricea clavata, 308 nucleotides. Lineage: Eukaryota; Metazoa; Cnidaria; Anthozoa; Malacalcyonacea; Plexauridae. The record is from the annotation of a GenBank genome assembly.